CACUGCGUUUUGAUUUCUUGCUUCUUAGAUCCGUUCUGAUGUUCACCAAGAGUAACAAGAUCAUCCAUCAAGGACAGCCCUGAUUACCAAGACCUCUGGGUUUAUCUUAUGGGUCUAUUCUCAUGGAGUUGGUUGAGCUAUCCAGCACAUCACUGGCUGAAGCAAUGUUCGAGAAACUCGGUCUCCCUAAACCAGUAUACUUUGUGCAUCAUCUUUCACAAGAUCGAUUUAGAACAGAGAUUCAAUUUCACCGUACAAAAGAACGGUACCAUGCUUCAGUGCGGCGGACUAAACUAUCAAGCCGUAUAUGUCAGAAUGGGGUAGCAUCAAUGAAUCAUGCAGCCGAUAAGGCCAUCGAAUACAUGCAGAACAAAGAGGGUAAGGUGCUUGUGGACUACAACUAUUAUCAGCUAGAGCAAAUGAAAAUGACACAUACAAGAGUAUCAGCCAGGCUGCUAGAACAGUCAGACGAAAUCAACCAGCAUAGCAAAACCAUCAAGCAGAUAACUAAAGAAGCAUGUAACUAUGUGGAACAAGUGCGCAAUACAUCAAACAGAAUCCAAGACCUUGCUGCCGUUUUCUUGGACCCUGUUACCUCGAUGUGUGUUUCUAAUAUGAAGCAAGCUAUUAUGGAGAUUCACAGUUCAAUUGUCGCGCUUGAAAGCUCUAUAACUACGACAUCUAAGUUCCUAGAGGAAAAAGGCAUGUACUCAGAUUAUGAAGUGCCUGAAGAAAGCUACACUGGCCACUCGGAUGAAGAUUCAGCCGAUGAUAUUCAUCAACACAUGGAUGACGACUAUGUCCCAUCCCCAUGAGCGUCAUAUCGAGCCUGUUGAACUAUCUCGUUGCCAUGUGAAGUUGUAUAUAUCAAAAACAACCCUCUUCACCCAUUGAUUUGGUAUUACCAGAGAGCAUCUCAUGGAGAAGAACAAAUCCUGGUGUUUCAACCUACCCACAGCCGAUCAAUUGAGCGAGUGGAUGUUAACAGAGAAAUACAUGAUUGAUGAUAUUUCUUCUUCACAAGGUUUUAUAAGCGCAGUAGAACACAAGACGAGAGAGGUUGCGCGGCUGUGUUCCCACUACAUACUAGCACGGUGGGAUGGAUGGCCUAUGGAUGAGCACCACGUCACGCCACUCAUUUCAGAACAUCUUCAUCUGCCAUAUCAACCAUAUCUGUAUGCUCCAUAUGAUAAUGAAUCCCGGUUGGUGCUAGAUUUAAUGAAUGAGCCAACCACAGCUUAUGCACGUGUGGUUCUGUCCAGUGGAGUGACCAUGGCAGUAGAUGGGACUGAAGUUCUAUGUUACCCUGUAAAAAAUGUAGGUGUGCCAAUGGAAGCAAUACCUAAGGAAGUAAUAACCCCUAAAGAAGCUAGAGCAAGAAACUAAGGAUACUGAUAUCUUGGCAGCAUUCCGAGUAAGUCCUCAGCCUGGGGUUCCGCCCCAAGAAGCAGGGGAUGUACGAUUUUCAGAUUGAAGAAAUGAUGGAGACAAUGACUGAACAUCUAAAGGUACAGAUCUAUGGUUUGCCAUUACAUCUUUGGACUAGAAGAGCAAUUGAACGUGCCCUGCUACCACAUUGCCUUGUUGAGAAUGUUAGUCAAGCCAAUCUCAUCUUUCGCAAGCUUCGAUCAGUAAGUUGCACGGCAUGCCUGUUAGAACUGUUGUGCCAUUCCCAUGGUAUAUACUCAUUCAUGUCUCCAGCAAGUAUGACAAAGGAAGAAACCAAAGCAGUGGCCACAGGAACACAGAGACUUUUUGUAUUGGUGUUGACAGAGUUAAUAUUGGAGCUCAUCAUAACAAGUCUCUUCAAAGAACACACAGGAGGAUUCCUUCUUUCUUGCAGGCACUAAAGAGAGGAAUGGUUUCCCAUUCAUAUUUAAAUGAUGUUGACAUACCAGCUGACCAAAUGCGGAUAUUGGAAUCAUCAUUCCUCCUGACGGCUUGCGAUGAGGGAAGAAUUAUCACAGAGGACAAGUUAACACGCUGUUUGCAGCAAAUGCAGAUUGAAUGUCCUGGAAAGGUCAUAGUCAAGCAAGUUGGCAGGUCCAAAUACCUUAUAUAUUUCCAAGGGCCAGUAACCACAACUUUGUUUCACACGUUGUCUGCUGAUGCUGCUGGAAUCCAGCUACCUCUUGGUAAGUUCUUAGUUCAGAAAUGGUCGACGUCUGUUGGAGGUGUAUCUUCUACCCUCUCUCGAAAAGAACAGAUAAGGAUUACAGGACUGCCAACUGAAUUUUACAGCCCGUCUAUAAUUGAAGACAUCCUGAGCCCCCAGUGCAUGUUAGAAAACAACAGCCAUCAGGUUGGUGAGUCUCCUGAUGUUUGGUUCUAUGACUGUGCCAUAUGGACAAAUGAAAACAAAAUUAUUUCAGAGGACAUCUAUUUGGGCUGCUCCAAAUGGAUUAACAGUGGAACAAUCAACUGUUAAAGAUCUUCAGGUGCCUCUGGAGUUGUACAAUGCAAGAAUUACCAGCUCAUAACACCAUAUUUCAAGAGCUGGGAUCACAGUGCUGACAUAUCUACAUUAGUUGGGCAGCUUUCACUAUUUAGGUGUUUCUGUAAAUAAGUUUAAGUCAAAUUACUAUAUCUACACUUAUGCACCCUGCAGUCUCCCGCUCGCUACCUAUUACUUCUCCCUCGCGUAUCUUUUUGUUCUUGUAUUUUUGAUUAUGCCGUCUUAAGAGGUGUCCUCCAACGGAUAACUCUCCAUUAUCAGUCUUCCUUAUUAACUAAUCAGCCCAUUUUUUAAAACAAAUGUUGUGUUGUUUAAAAUUCACACACAUGCUACUGGAUUUUACUUACAUUCGUUUCAACCCCUUCCAAUAUAAUUAUUUCUGCCCUAAUAUAUGCCUACUGCAAUGUAUUCUGCACAGCCAGGUUGAUUGGACCUAGGUUGUUUCUUCUAUCUCCAUGUUAAUUGCAUUAGGAAUUACAAAAUGAGGAUGCACCUGCCGGUUGAUUACUAAGAAAGCCUUUUAUUUUCCACAGGCUUUAUUUAGAUUCUUGAUGCCUCCAUAAAAUUCCUGAUCCAGAAAAAGCUAGGUAAAGAUGAAACAAAAUGUUGAUUGCUUCCUUUUUAGUUCUCUUAGUUUAGCCUCGCCACAAAAGCCCUGUCCCACAGCUACAUGGCUUUAAAAAUUAGACCACCUGGCUAUAAUUCCAAAAAAACAAAUAAGGUAACAUAAAUUAUUUUAUUAUUCGAUUUGCUUUUUAUUAAAAAUAAACUACCACGUAGAUACAUGAUACUAAUUACCCAUAAAAAUAUAGCACUGUAUAUCAGUAAGCCCAUAUAAGGUUUGUUUUAGAAGAAGGAUAAACAAGCAAAGUAACAAUAUUAACGGACAUUUUCCAUCCUCAGAACCAACCACAAAAACAGGCCCAUGACAAAGCAAUUUUAGAAGCCCAUGCCACCAGGGCCCAUACACAUCUUGCUCAGGCUCCGCACAGUAUAUAAAGAGCAAGAUGUUAUGCUUUUACCUAAAUCCCCAAUCCGAAACCCUGGCUCCUCUCUCUGCUGUGCGCCCCCCCACACCAGCGGCUACCACACCGAAUCCUCAGCGCCUGUGGUAACAAAGCGCAUGAACUACAUGUACAUUGGAGCUGUUUGUGAUGAGGGAUCUCCAGGCUCGGCAUCAUCAAGAACAAGAACCACUGAGCCAAAGGACAACAUGGGCACUCAAAAGUGUCAGUACGUUGUUGAUGCUACUGGAUUUGAUAAAGUUGCGGGUCUGAGGUCAACAAGAAAAAUAUAAUGCCAUCAUCUUAUGCGGGCAAACUUCGCUCGAUGACUGAAAACUUCCACGAUUCUAUAGCUGUUUCACGUGUCCAUGGCUCACCUGAUAUAUUCACAACCUUCACUUACGAUCCAAACUGGCCUGAGAUAGUUGAGGGUCUUGAGCAUGGACAACAGGCAAUCAAUGAAGCUAAUUUUGCUGCUCAAGUGUAUCAGAUGAAGUUACUUGGGUACCUGCAAGAAAUAAAGACCGGGAAAGUGUUUGGGCCUGUAGUUGUAGUCCUCCACUCCGUGGAGUUCCAGAAGAGGAGUCUGCCCCAUGCACAUAUCCUUGUUUGGCAGAAAAAAGAUAAUGGCCAAGUCAUAACACUGACCUUGCUAAAUCCUUUGUUUCAUCUGCUAUUAGUGUUUCUAUCAAAUCUAGAUUCGUCUUUGUUUUCCAGAGUUCCUUUUUCCAGAAUUCCUAAUAAUUAGCUUGACCAUGUCAUAGGGAUCUGCGUCCACUGAUGUUGAUGCCGAUGCUCCUGCGAUUGCAGCUGUUAACACCAUGGAGACUGCACUUCUGCAGACAUAAAAGCUUAUGAGAGAUGUUGCUGCUGCUGCACAGAACAUUUCGUCAAAAAUGUUUCGUUGCUAAGUGAUCUACACUUUCGGAUGAACAUGCAUGAAAGGUUCUUUUGGUCCUUGGUUCUUUCUCUCUGGUUACUUUGGAUCUAGCAACUAAAGCGUUGCCCACAAGGACAAGUGAAGCCUGCUUUGCAGUUACUGUUUUCGCACAAUUGUCCAAGUAUCCAGAAUGGCCUAUUACUAUGUUCGUCGCAUAUUUGUAAACCGCAUGUUUGGCAACCCCUGUUCAUGCGUUUCCUUGUUUAAGAUCUCAACCAGCCUAUUUCCAUGUUCUAUGGAUAUCGUUCUUAGCCCUUUGUUAAUGUACCCUAUGUCCCUCAUGACUAUUUGAACCUACUACAAAUAUUUAUUAAGCCAACCUAUCUAACGUAUGUUUGAUCACCAGUGUAAUGACUUGUAUAGUAAGCCUUGUGAACUUACGAUUUAAGCACUCAUAGACCUAAUACUACUGAUAGUCUACAAGCAAAGCAUGGCAAGCACACACACUUUUAUCAUUAAAUUUAGUUACCUAUGCCCCUCCUUACAGACAUCAAAUCGAUAACGAAACUGUGUAUAGAAAGCAGACCCAAAAAAAACUACCAUGCAUGCUCUAAACAAGAAAACCUCCUGUAAUAUAUGCUAUAAUUCUCAUUUAGCUAAUCCAUCGACACCUUUUGUGUGUAAAUGUAUUCAGCUUUGACAUAUUAAGGAUGUUUUAUAUAUCUUUUUAAAACAUGGUAAGAUAUCGUUGUGUAAGACAAAAUCAUCUAGAAUUUCGCUUUGAAAUUUACAAGAUCACUUCCUUUCUACCACUAUCUAUAGAUAUUGACCAUGAUCAGGAAUCAAUGAUAAAAAACAAUCCAAACCAUGAAUACUUUCACCCAUACUGCACUAUGUUUUUCCAGUAUAACUUUUCCGCUCAAUUUUCCCUCCUCCCUCCUCUGUUAUAGAAUUAUUAUAGAAUUUCUAUAAAUGACAAUUUUUCUGAUUACCACGUACUUUAAGAAAGUUGAAAAAAUAAUAAUCUGUUCGCCAAUUGCCCAGGGACCUUUGUCCCCUGACCUCUAUUGGCCAUUAACUUCCAGAAAACAUUUGUCUGAUUUAAGGAAAAGUUGUAAAAAAACAAAAAACUUUGCAAUUUGAGAACUAUUUAUAUACUUGAAUUAAAAAAUAUGGACGCGCGUAAAAGCAUGGAUCCUACCUGUCCUUACCGCAGCGGGUCACCCCCAGGCCCAUGUAAUCUCCCACUAAACUAGCCCGCCGGCCCAACGCAGGUAACAUAGAUAGGAGCAGACGCCUCCGCUUCCAGUCGUAAAUAUCUCCCCACUACCCACCAACGCAGUUUUUCCCAUCUCUCUCGCCGUCUCCCUCUAGGGUUUUCCCCCAAUACAAUGGUGAAGUGCAGGAUCUGCCGCCAGUACUGGAGGCACCUUGUCAAGCACCACGGAUACGCAGAUCGAAGACGCCGUCAUGCGCUAGAGAGUCGCCGUUAUCAGGCAUCGUCUUCUUCUGCGUCAAUGGAUAGUUCAGCCGAACUUCAGUCACGGACCGGUCCCCAUAGACAAGCGCCUUCUUCUGCCACAAGAACGACUACCGAUUCCGAAUACCAGCAGGAUUAACGGAGAUUUAUUCAAACCACGUGUCAAGAUACGGUUGCUUGUGCAUAUACAAAUACAUGUUUGUGUAGUAUUCACACAUCUGUACGAUACGGCUGAGCCAUGCAAUGGUGCAACGUGCAUGCAAAGAGGAGGAGGGCCAUGCCCAUAUGUGAUGCAUGCCACACGAGCAUGCAUGCAAUUCAGCCCACACACACAUGGGCCACGUGCAAUGCCGGCCACGUGAGCGCCCCAGCAUCCAAGCAACGCACGGCUGGUCCAUCGAACAACAAAUCAAGGCGGCGGCUCCCCAUCGUACUACUAUAAAUAAUUAGCCUCCGUUUAGGGUUAGACUCGGGUUUUAUUGUAUUGUCUAGCCAUCGCUACAAUUCGCAUCUACGAGACGUGUAGGACUACCGCCUUGUCAGAUUCACAGUGGAACCCCAACUUUUCAUCUAGUUCGUGUACUCAGAUUAUUAUCCGCAA
Molecule: long non-coding RNA, 6420 nt
Organism: Triticum aestivum (bread wheat)
Lineage: Eukaryota; Viridiplantae; Streptophyta; Magnoliopsida; Poales; Poaceae
Exons: 10
Source: RefSeq, a predicted model, not a curated record